AAGUCGUAACAAGGUUUCCGUAGGUGAACCUGCGGAAGGAUCAUUAACACGUAUCCACGUAUCAACCAACCGAGAAUCGUUUUCAACUCUCCCUCCAAAGGAUCAUGAGUGGGCCAGCCAUCGAGAUAGAGUGGGCUCUCACGAGCGCUCGGGGCAUCGCUUAAAGACUGCGUUUAAACAACAAGCCAGUACCACUGAAUUUCAUAGUGAGGCAACCUUCUAUUCUUCUAAGAAUCCAUCUCUCUACCGAUGAAGUUUAGAUCUUAACCAAACACGAUACACACCACUUUUUUGCUAGUUGACUUUUCUUUGUGCGGUCUGUGCGUAAGCAACGGCUCACACGUUUGAUUAUUUGAACGUUAAAAAUACAACUCUUAGCAAUGGAUAUCUUGGUUCUC
RNAcentral lists this unclassified non-coding RNA (398 nucleotides) under fungal sp. RNAcentral's name for it is "partial internal transcribed spacer region". The stretch from base 1 to 46 matches the Rfam family "Eukaryotic small subunit ribosomal RNA", at positions 1786 to 1831 of the family's 1831-position model. The record is from RNAcentral. Lineage: Eukaryota; Fungi.